Sinocyclocheilus grahami is the source of this 158-nucleotide long non-coding RNA. RefSeq lists it as uncharacterized. Lineage: Eukaryota; Metazoa; Chordata; Actinopteri; Cypriniformes; Cyprinidae. The record is from RefSeq and is a predicted model, not a curated record. The transcript has 3 exons.
UUUUUAAACUAAACUUUCAAGGGAUUACAUGGUCAUGGUGAAGAAGUUGAAGAAUUGGAUUGAGCUUUACACUGAAAAGGACUCAUAGCACGGUGAUCUGGCAGCUCGAGUGGUCCGCAUUCUCUGCCGGCCAGCUCUGGAAUCUCCGCUUACCUGAG